Molecule: ribosomal RNA, 486 nt
Filed under: uncultured bacterium
Lineage: Bacteria
Description: bacterial SSU rRNA
Rfam family: Bacterial small subunit ribosomal RNA
Source: RNAcentral
GAGGAAACUCUGAUGCAGCGACGCCGCGUGAGUGAAGAAGGUCUUCGGAUCGUAAAACUCUGUCCUUGGUGAAGAUAAUGACGGUAGCCAAGGAGGAAGCCCCGGCUAACUACGUGCCAGCAGCCGCGGUAAUACGUAGGGGGCGAGCGUUGUCCGGAUUUACUGGGCGUAAAGGGUGAGUAGGCGGUAAUAUGUGUCAGAUGUAAAAGGCUAAGGCUUAACCAUAGUUAGCAUUUGAAACUGUAUUACUUGAGUGCAGGAGAGGUAAGUGGAAUUCCUAGUGUAGCGGUGAAAUGCGUAGAUAUUAGGAGGAACACCAGUGGCGAAGGCGACUUACUGGACUGUAACUGACGCUGAGUCACGAAAGCGUGGGUAGCAAACAGGAUUAGAUACCCUGGUAGUCCACGCCGUAAACGAUGAGUGCUAGGUGUUGGGUAGCGAUACUCAGUGCCGAAGUAAACACAAUAAGCACUCCGCCUGGGGAGU